UGUAAAGUUCAAGCUCCGAUUUGUGAGGGCGAAACCGCGAAUGGCUCAUUAAAUCAGUCAUAAUCUACUUGAUUGUUUAAGUUUAGAUGGAUAACUGUGGUAAUUCUAGAGCUAAUACAUGCGUGAAGGGGGCGACCGUCGAGGAAGCCUUGCGUUUAUUAGACUAAGACCGAUGGGACCUCGUGUCUCUUAAAGUUGGUGACUCUGAGUAAAUAACGGGUGCAAGCCCGUGCUGCCGACCUGGCACUCAAGGGCCCUCAAAAGCCCGCCAGGCGAAUCAAUCGAGUGUCUGCUCUAUCAACUGUGGAUGGUAGGGUAAUUGCCUACCAUGGUGAUGACGGGUAACGGGGAGUUAGGGCUCGACUCCGGAGAACAAGCCUGAGAAACGGCUAGUAGGACUACGGUCUGCAGCAGGCGCGAAACUUACACAAUGCUAGAUUCAAGAUAAUUAGCGAUGUAGUGAAGAAAAAUAACGAUGUGCUUGCUUUUAAACAAGCUUGCACAAUUGGAAUGAGACGACUUUAAAGCAGUUAGUCGAGUAACAAAUGGAGGGCAAGUCUGGUGCCAGCAGCCGCGGUAAUUCCAGCUCCAUUAGCAUACAUUAAAGUUGUUGCGGUUAAAAAGCUCGUAGUUGAAUGUAGUGGUGUUUGAAGUGUCUGCUAUCCGUUAAGGUGGUUUCGACUACUGGAUAGUGUGGCACUUUAGAUGCUUGUUUCGUCACUUAAUCGAGUGCGAAGCGGGCGAGGUCGCGCGUUCCUUAACUGAAACGUGUGCGCCUUGCCUGUUUACCUUGAGAAAAUUAGAGUGCUCAGAGCAGGCAGUUGGACUGUAAAAGGUUCUUUAUGCUUGAAUAAUGUUGCAUGGAAUAAUAGAAUACGGCCUCGGUUCUAUUCUGUUGGUCUUAUAGAACAACAAACAAGUUGUGGUAAUCACCAUUGGAUGUUUCGUGUGGGGUUCACUGGGAGUCGUGUUGUCAGAGAGUAAAAUUUCUGUACCUCCUCACAGUAAACAUUAAAACCUACACCCUACAACCAGAUCACUCACAACUGAGGCAAUGGUUAAAAGAAAUAGUCGCGGCGGCAUCAGUACUGCAUCGUGAGAGGUGAAAUUCUUAGACCGAUGCAAGACUAACUGAAGCGAAAGCGUUUGCCGAGGAUAUUUUCAUUAAUCAAGAACGAAAGUUAGAGGUUCGAAGGCGAUCAGAUACCGCCCUAGUUCUAACCAUAAACGUUGCCAACUAGCAAUUGGGUUGCGAUUCCUUUAGUUGGAGCGGUCAAAAACUCCAACCAUUAUGAUCCACCCAGCGGCUCUCGUAGGGAAACCAAAGUGUUUGGGUUCCGGGGGAAGUAUGAUUGCAAAGUUGAAACUUAAAGGAAUUGACGGAAGGGCACCACCAGGAGUGGAGCCUGCGGCUUAAUUUGACUCAACACGGGGAAACUUACUAGAUUAGAACUCUGGAAUGAUUGACAGAUUGAUAGCUCUUUCUUGAUUCAGAGGAUGGUGGUGCAUGGCCGUUCUUGAUUCGUAUUCCGAAACGUCUGCUUAAUUGCGAUAACGAGUGAGACCUCCCCCAACUAACUAGUCGUUCGUUGCGCCGUUUGGGCGUUCACGGUGCCUGGUUGGCUAGUUGAUUGGUGGCAACAUCGGUCAAUCCAACCAAGCAUUGCCCUCUGCUCGACGACGGACUUCUUAGAGGGAUAAACGGUGUUUUAGCCGUAAGAAACGAGGCAAUAACAGGUCUGUGAUGCCCUUAGAUAUUCUAGGCCGCACGCGUGCUACAAUGGCGUGUGCAGAGAGCUUGUUCGAGGUUCGUCCGCAGAGAACUAGUGGCCUGGUGCGCGGGUGGGGGCAACCUCGUUUGUGUAUCAACCGCCAAGUGACUGCGGUUAGCGAGCCGAGAGAAACCGCAGCCGAAAGGUUGUGGCAAUCAGAAAUACACGCCGUGAUUUGGGAUUGGGGAUUGCAAUUGUUGCCCAUGAACGAGGAAUUCCCAGUAAGCGCGAUUCAUCAUAUCGCGUUGAUUACGUCCCUGCCCUUUGUACACACCGCCCGUCGCUACUACCGAUUGGAAGUUUUAGUGAGGCAUCUGGAUUCGUCGGCCACGAGAGGAGCAAUUCUCUCCGGCCUGGUGGAGAAGUUUGUCGAACUCAAAUUUCUAGAGGAAGUAAAAGUCGUAACAAGGUUUCCGU
Molecule: ribosomal RNA, 2189 nt
Filed under: Aculus sp. NJAUEriYN216
Lineage: Eukaryota; Metazoa; Arthropoda; Arachnida; Trombidiformes; Eriophyidae
Description: 18S ribosomal RNA
Rfam family: Eukaryotic small subunit ribosomal RNA
Source: RNAcentral